GGGAUAACGUAGCGAAAGCUACGCUAAUACCGCAUACGAUCUAUGGAUGAAAGCGGGGGAUCGCAAGACCUCGCGCGAUUGGAGCGGCCGAUAUCAGAUUAGGUAGUUGGUGAGGUAAAGGCUCACCAAGCCGACGAUCUGUAGCUGGUCUGAGAGGACGACCAGCCACACUGGGACUGAGACACGGCCCAGACUCCUACGGGAGGCAGCAGUGGGAAUUUUGGACAAUGGGCGCAAGCCUGAUCCAGCAAUGCCGCGUGCAGGAUGAAGGCCUUCGGGUUGUAAACUGCUUUUGUACGGAACGAAACGGUGAGCUCUAAUACAGUUUGCUAAUGACGGUACCGUAAGAAUAAGCACCGGCUAACUACGUG
RNAcentral lists this ribosomal RNA (371 nucleotides) under uncultured bacterium. Its description in RNAcentral is "bacterial SSU rRNA". It matches the Rfam family "Bacterial small subunit ribosomal RNA", at positions 140 to 507 of the family's 1533-position model. The record is from RNAcentral.